This 67-nucleotide transfer RNA is filed under the name Chrysomela aeneicollis. RNAcentral's name for it is "tRNA-Ser". The record is from RNAcentral. Lineage: Eukaryota; Metazoa; Arthropoda; Insecta; Coleoptera; Chrysomelidae.
GAAAUAUGUAUUUCAAGAGUAAGCUUCUAACUUAAUUCUUAAGCAAUAAAAUAUUGUUUAUAUUUCU